Molecule: long non-coding RNA, 1037 nt
Organism: Monopterus albus (swamp eel)
Lineage: Eukaryota; Metazoa; Chordata; Actinopteri; Synbranchiformes; Synbranchidae
Exons: 3
Source: RefSeq, a predicted model, not a curated record
UACGCCUCACAAGUUCCGCCCUUGGGUAGAGUCAGGGGUGUGGCAGAACAGAAAAACGGAGUAUGGACAGAGAUUAAAAGAGCUACAUGUUUUGGGAGUUUACCUGGGUAGUGUGAGCAGAAAAGGUCAAAGACACUUUAAUAUUGAAAUUGGAUAUAUGACAUAGCGACUACGGAUACAGUCGCGAGGGAAAGGAAGAAAAAGAAUUGGUCGUGGUAGCGAGUGAAAGCACUGUGAGCUAAAGAUAAUAGCUAAUAGCUAAUGGCUGAUGCCAUUAGCUCGUGUCCGGGCCAGCAGUGAAUUGGGGAAUUCUACCUCGUUAGUGAGCGAGAAGCAGAAGAGAUAAGACGGCUGCGUUGUGUGUGCGCCAUUCUGAGCGGACAUUACCGUAUGCUCGUAUUAAUACAAGGAGAUUGGUCAGGUUUUUUGUUUUGGGACAUUCUAUUCCAUUCGUGAAAUGAUCAUAAAUCAUUCUUGGAGUUCGAUGGCGAGCCUCCCAGCGGAUUCUGGAACGGGAAGAUCUGGAUAAUUUUGGUCAGCAUACAGGUGUUACUACACUCCCAGUGUGGUGGACAAAGGAUUCAAAUACGCCUUCUGGUGCAGUAUAUUUUUUCAUUAUCAUACUGAGACUGGACUUACUUGGACUUCUGGAAUGUUGAUUUGACUUUUAUUGUUUCCUUGGACUGAACUGCUUAGCACCGAUGAAACUGUAUAUGCACUGAAGAGAACAAUGUUAUUAUGGCGUUACCGGUAUUGUAAACUUUGGAUUCUUGUAUGAUUGAGUGAUUUGAAAGGAGUUUGGAUUUGAAAAUUAUCCAAUGGGAUUCUACUCCACACUGGAUAAACAGAUUUAGAUUGGGUGCACCCUGUGAUAGUGCAGACAUAAAAAGGGAACGUAUCCUAAGUAAACCAUUAUUCAAGAUUUACUUGUUCCUCACAAGUAGGAGGGAUUACUUAGUUUUUUGAUAUUGGUCUGUGAAGAGAAGAAAAACUUAACACGGUUAAACUUUUAUUUUGGUUUAUUCAUUUUCCAUAUU